GGAGAUUGAACCAAUAAGAGUCCAACUUGGGGGAGGAGGCAUAGCCAGCUCCUCAGAGUUUGCUGUAAUUGUCUAUAUGACCUACAAUUGGCUGAUUAGGCGGCUGUCAAUCCUUGCAGAAAAAAUGUGAUGUGUAUCAUGAGAUACAGCUCAGGAGCACGGUCCUACCUCAGGGUGCACGACGGUAGAUGCCAGUUGCCUUGGCCCUCAGAGGGUACCUUGCCAGCCAGUCCACCCCUUAAUAACUUGUUUCAGAUCACCUAUCAGGAAGAGCUAGACCAAAAAGCUACGGCAAGUUUAGGUGCAUUUUAUUUUCUAUAUUUGCUCUAGUACAAGCAAAGCAGGGAAUUCAGAAAUAAAAAAGAAACAAGAGAAAUCUAAUGCAAGCAUUGUAUGAUAGAAUUGUUUUACUUUGCAGAAACAGUGAUAACACCAGAACCCAAUAUCACGAGACUGACAGACAAAGAGGUCAUGUUGCGGUGGACUGUACACUACAAUGGUCCACAUAGCAUUGACAUCUUCAAAGUCCAGUACAUGGAGAAGUCUUCCAGGAAAAUUCAAGGACGAGAAUGGUCUACGAGUAACGAUAUUGAUAAUUAUACUCGCGCUUUUGAAGUUUCUAAUCUGGAGCCCGACCGGCGAUACAAGUUCCGGAUAUCAACUGUGUUCUUCAACUAUGAGUCUGUAACCGGUCCCUCGACUGGUUGGUACAAAUUGACCAAAGACGACCCUUCAGGCAAACCGCCACCCAGUAUGCCAAUUAUAGUACAUACUGAAACUGAAAGCCCAACUUCUGUGAAAGUCAAGUGGAACUACAACGACUCCAUCCAAAAUCCAAUCGAGGUUCUACCUGUAUUAUUGUCGCUCAGAUGUGGGCAAUUGUCCGUAUAA
This 891-nucleotide long non-coding RNA is filed under the name Bemisia tabaci. RNAcentral describes it as "lncRNA ENSSSA1NGG001271". Lineage: Eukaryota; Metazoa; Arthropoda; Insecta; Hemiptera; Aleyrodidae. The record is from RNAcentral.